ACCCCUCUAAAUACAAUUCAAAUAUUAUAGAAUGUAGUACUUUUAUCAAUUUAAUAUCUGAUAUGUGGGUCAUCGACUCCACUUGAUAUUAAUUUUAUUUUUUUAUGAGGGAAAAUCCAUUAGCUUGGUGAUGUGGUUUUUCAUGCAUCACCUUGAACUUCCACUAUUGUUGCUACAACUUACGCACUCCUC
Molecule: small nuclear RNA, 192 nt
Organism: Cynara cardunculus var. scolymus (artichoke)
Lineage: Eukaryota; Viridiplantae; Streptophyta; Magnoliopsida; Asterales; Asteraceae
Product: U2 spliceosomal RNA
Exons: 1
Source: RefSeq, a predicted model, not a curated record